Molecule: Y RNA, 112 nt
Filed under: Saimiri boliviensis boliviensis (Bolivian squirrel monkey)
Lineage: Eukaryota; Metazoa; Chordata; Mammalia; Primates; Cebidae
Description: Y RNA (ENSSBOG00000002292.1)
Rfam family: Y RNA
About the family: Y RNAs are components of the Ro ribonucleoprotein particle (Ro RNP), in association with Ro60 and La proteins. The Y RNAs and Ro60 and La proteins are well conserved, but the function of the Ro RNP is not known.
Source: Rfam by way of RNAcentral
GGCUAGUCUGAAGAUAGUGAGUUAUCUCAGUUGAUUAUUCACAAUCAGUUACAGAUCGAAUUCCUCAUUCCACUCUUUCCCCAUUCUUACUAUUGCACUUGACUAGUCUUUA